Molecule: ribosomal RNA, 293 nt
Filed under: uncultured bacterium
Lineage: Bacteria
Description: partial 16S ribosomal RNA
Rfam family: Bacterial small subunit ribosomal RNA
Source: RNAcentral
GGCCUACGGGGGGCAGCAGUAGGGAAUCUUUCACAAUGGGCGAAAGCCUGAUGGAGCAACGCCGCGUGCAGAAAGAAGGCUUUCGGGUUGUAAACUUCUUUUGUCAGGGACGAAGCAAGUGACGGUACCUGACGAAUAAGCCACGGCUAACUACGUGCCAGCAGCCGCGGUAAUACGUAGGUGGCAAGCGUUAUCCGGAUUUAUUGGGUGUAAAGGGCGUGUAGGCGGGAAUGCAAGUCAGAUGUGAAAACUAUGGGCUCAACCCAUAGCCUGCAUUUGAAACUGUACUUCUU